UACGAAGGGGGCUAGCGUUGCUCGGAAUCACUGGGCGUAAAGGGUGCGUAGGCGGGUCUUUAAGUCAGGGGUGAAAUCCUGGAGCUCAACUCCAGAACUGCCUUUGAUACUGAGGAUCUUGAGUUCGGGAGAGGUGAGUGGAACUGCGAGUGUAGAGGUGAAAUUCGUAGAUAUCGGGAGGAACACCAGUGGCGAAGGCGGCGAUCUGGGUGGAUACUGACGCUGAGGUGCGAAAGCGUGGGGAGCAAACAGG
Molecule: ribosomal RNA, 253 nt
Filed under: uncultured bacterium
Lineage: Bacteria
Description: partial 16S ribosomal RNA
Rfam family: Bacterial small subunit ribosomal RNA
Source: RNAcentral